RNAcentral lists this transfer RNA (69 nucleotides) under Rhodeus pseudosericeus. Its description in RNAcentral is "tRNA-Ser". Lineage: Eukaryota; Metazoa; Chordata; Actinopteri; Cypriniformes; Acheilognathidae. The record is from RNAcentral.
AAGGAGGGAUAAGAAUCAAUGGGCACUGCUAAUUCCCAUAAAUCAUGGUUAAAAUCCAAGGCCUUCUUG